Psammomys obesus (fat sand rat) is the source of this 383-nucleotide long non-coding RNA. RefSeq lists it as uncharacterized. NCBI's taxonomy places the organism in Eukaryota, Metazoa, Chordata, Mammalia, Rodentia, Muridae. The record is from RefSeq and is a predicted model, not a curated record. The transcript is spliced from 2 exons.
CCCACUAGCGGAAGCGUUUUCUGGCUACAGAGAAUGUGUUAUUCUGGUUCUGUAUCCUCAGUUACUAAGAGUCCAUGCUUGGAUCAUCCUCAUCGAGUAGGCCUUCCCGACUUUCUCAGUUCCCUUGGACACACAACUCCUGCCAAACACAGGCCAAGCCUGCCAGAAGAACAGUUUUUACCUUCAGCAUUGUUUGUCGAGAUGGAGAGGAGCUGUUACAAAAAGAUCAAGGAAACCUGCAGACAUCAGUUCUUUCAGAAAACUGCUUUCACCAUUCAUUGACUUGGAAACUGCCUGAGGAUAAAAACAUUCUCCCAAAUGAUUUUCUCAAGUUGGAAGAAACACAUUCAACUUCAAAAAUAAACAAACAGCAGACAUGGUGA